UACGUAGGGGGCAAGCGUUGUCCGGAAUCAUUGGGCGUAAAGAGCGUGUAGGCGGCUCGAUAAGUCCGCUGUGAAAGUCCAGGGCUCAACCCUGGAAGGCCGGUGGAAACUGUCGGGCUAGAGUCCGGAAGAGGCGAGUGGAAUUCCCGGUGUAGCGGUGAAAUGCGCAGAUAUCGGGAGGAACACCUAUUGCGAAGGCAGCUCGCUGGGACGUAACUGACGCUGAGACGCGAAAGCGUGGGGAGCAAACAGG
Molecule: ribosomal RNA, 253 nt
Filed under: uncultured bacterium
Lineage: Bacteria
Description: partial 16S ribosomal RNA
Rfam family: Bacterial small subunit ribosomal RNA
Source: RNAcentral